Molecule: ribosomal RNA, 446 nt
Filed under: uncultured bacterium
Lineage: Bacteria
Description: partial 16S ribosomal RNA
Rfam family: Bacterial small subunit ribosomal RNA
Source: RNAcentral
CCUACGGGUGGCAGCAGUCGAGAAUCAUUCACAAUGGGGGAAACCCUGAUGGUGCGACGCCGCGUGGGGGAAUGAAGGUCUUCGGAUUGUAAACCCCUGUCAUGUGGGAGCAAAUUAAAAAGAUAGUACCACAAGAGGAAGAGAUGGCUAACUCUGUGCCAGCAGCCGCGGUAAUACAGAGGUCUCAAGCGUUGUUCGGAAUCACUGGGCGUAAAGCGUGCGUAGGCUGUUUCGUAAGUCGUGUGUGAAAGGCGGGGGCUCAACCCGCGGACGGCACAUGAUACUGCGAGACUAGAGUAAUGGAGGGGGAACCGGAAUUCUCGGUGUAGAAGUGAAAUGCGUAGAUAUCGAGAGGAACACUCGUGGCGAAGGCGGGUUCCUGGACAUUAACUGACGCUGAGGCACGAAGGCCAGGGGAGCGAAAGGGAUUAGAUACCCGUGUAGUC